GUGCCAGCCGCCGCGGUAAUACGUAGGUGACAAGCGUUAUCCGGAUUUACUGGGCGUAAAGGGAGCGUAGGCGGAUAAUUAAGUGGGAUGUGAAAUACCCGGGCUCAACCUGGGUGCUGCAUUCCAAACUGGUUAUCUAGAGUGCAGGAGAGGAGAGUGGAAUUCCUAGUGUAGCGGUGAAAUGCGUAGAGAUUAGGAAGAACACCAGUGGCGAAGGCGACUCUCUGGACUGUAACUGACGCUGAGGCUCGAAAGCGUGGGGAGCAAACAGGAUUAGAUACCCCCGUAGUCC
Molecule: ribosomal RNA, 292 nt
Filed under: uncultured bacterium
Lineage: Bacteria
Description: partial 16S ribosomal RNA
Rfam family: Bacterial small subunit ribosomal RNA
Source: RNAcentral